Molecule: long non-coding RNA, 692 nt
Filed under: Cryptosporidium parvum
Lineage: Eukaryota; Apicomplexa; Conoidasida; Eucoccidiorida; Cryptosporidiidae
Source: RNAcentral
UUUGGUAUAUUUCUGUGAUUAUAUUCAAACAUUACAUGAGGCUGAACAUGAUCUGAUGAAUUUUUAUUGAGCUAUACUCUAAAGGUUUAAAUGAAUGAUAUAGCAUUAUUUUCAGAUGAACGGAAAUAUUUACUUAUAUUUAAUUCUGAAAAAUUACAACUCCAAAACAAUUAAUUUUAAAGAAAAUAGUUACGGCAAUCUUCUUCAUCUGGGAUAUUAUUUUUAGUAGCAAAAAAUUAAUGAUUUAUUUGGCUGUUUGGUAUUAGGCUAUUUAUAUAUUAAUGGAUCAAAUUUGUAAUUUUGGUCUUUAUUUUUUAAAGCUAUUUAGAACUAUAACUUGUAAAUUAAAAGAAAUUAAAUACAUUAAUUUUAAUUGCCAGAUAUUUACGAAGGAGUGCUAAUAUAUUGCUAUUAUGUAUUUAGUUAAUCAAUAUAUUCAUACAGCCCUUUCAUGCUCAAUUCACCAAUAUUCUUUGUGCCAUUUACAUUAAAUGACUACAACUUUAUUAGUAAAAUAUACAUAAAUUAUUAAAUUUUCAAAAAAAUCCUAAUUAAUGUGAAUUAAUCUGAUUUCAUAUAAUUAAAAUUUAAUGAUAUUAAGAUAAAAGUUAAAGUUUUCUUCAAUAACAUUUAUAUUAAACUGAUAUACAAUUAUAAUAUAAUUUCUCAUUUUAAAUUAUUUUAUCUAGUGC